Long non-coding RNA from Sapajus apella (tufted capuchin), 146 nucleotides. RefSeq lists it as uncharacterized. The transcript has 3 exons. The record is from RefSeq and is a predicted model, not a curated record. NCBI's taxonomy places the organism in Eukaryota, Metazoa, Chordata, Mammalia, Primates, Cebidae.
GUAGUAUUCCAUGGUGUAUAUGUGCCACAUUUUCUUUAUCCAUUUAUCUGUUAAUGGAAACUUAGGUUGAUUGCAUGUCUUGGCUAUUGUGAAUAGUAUUGCAAUAAACAUGAGAGUUCAGGUAUCCCUUUGCUAUACUGAUAUAU